Molecule: unclassified non-coding RNA, 411 nt
Filed under: uncultured Vermispora
Lineage: Eukaryota; Fungi; Ascomycota; Orbiliomycetes; Orbiliales; Orbiliaceae
Description: sequence contains ITS2
Rfam family: 5.8S ribosomal RNA (bases 1-154)
Source: RNAcentral
AACUUUUGGCAACGGAUCUCUUGGUUCUCGCAUCGAUGAAGAACGCAGCGAAACGCGAUAGGUAAUGUGAAUUGCAGAAUUCCGUGAAUCAUCGAAUCUUUGAACGCACAUUGCGCCUGCUGGUAUUCCGGUAGGCAUGCCUGUUUGAGCGUCAGCAAGAACCUCUCAGUAGUACUUUAUUGUAAUGCUGGUUAUGGGUGCAGAGGAAUGGUGUUUAUUCACCGCUCUCACUUUAAACUUGCUGCACGACCGCAAGCUAAUGCUAGGUUAAUGGAGUGGUAUUUAUAAAAUGUCAUCAACUGAACAAUAGCUUAUGGCGUUAAAAUUGAUGUCGCUUAACCGCGACUGAAGUUUGACCUCAAAUCAGACAAGGAUACCCGCUGAACUUAAGCAUAUCAAUAAGCGGAGGCU